AUUAUUUAGCUUCAGCUUAUAAAGACAUAGCAGCAUAUAUCUCCAAAGGUGUUGUCGCUGAAACUGACGUAUUGGUCCACACUAAAUUAUUGGCCUCCUUUUUAAUGGGGCUAGUUUAGUCUGCAACAUUGCAAUCUCUACUUGCAGUUGUUCUUGCCGUUCCUUCUAAUCGAUCUCCGUCCUUACUUUCUCAGACACCAUAUUUUCUAUCUUCUCCUUUUUCGCCAUCUACUUCUCCUUAACCACAAAAGAAA
RNAcentral lists this long non-coding RNA (254 nucleotides) under Physcomitrium patens. RNAcentral describes it as "long non-coding RNA (PPAT_LNC007015)". The record is from RNAcentral. Lineage: Eukaryota; Viridiplantae; Streptophyta; Bryopsida; Funariales; Funariaceae.